Molecule: long non-coding RNA, 1824 nt
Organism: Acanthopagrus latus (yellowfin seabream)
Lineage: Eukaryota; Metazoa; Chordata; Actinopteri; Spariformes; Sparidae
Exons: 4
Source: RefSeq, a predicted model, not a curated record
ACAGCAUGGAAACAGGGACACCUACAGUAUGUGUGGAGAAAUGACGGCAGACGUGUGCUCGACUGCUUUUUUUGAGAAUUGGCAGACAAGAUGAGCUAUUCUGAAACUGUCAAACAGGAAACUCUAGCUCAAUAAAUAAAAAAAGAAGGUAACCGAGGGGAAAAGAAAGCAUUUCAAGCAUCAGUAUGGUUGUUAUAUGACGCCAUACAAGCUGCCAUUACUUUAAAAGGGGCCAGGGGUGUAGCACACAGUUCUGGAUGCUGGACAGAUGUCUCCUCUACGGGCCCCUCACUGCAGCCACAGCUGUACAGUGGUGUAGGUUGUCAUCUUAAAACCUGGAAAUCAGGUUCCAGUGCUCUAGUCUCAAAGUGUACUAUUUUUCUGAAUUGGUUUUCAGUUAAAUGCCUGAAAUAAGCGAUUAAAUUUACACAUUGCAAAUCACAGAAGGUGGUGUUCAUCUGAGAUUAUCUCACUGAUUAAACCAUGUUGGCCAAAUACCAUGGGGCUGAUCAAAGAAAAUCCUUAAUCCUCCACGCGUCUGCAUUCGAGCUGUACAACAACACAGUUUACUUGGAUGGAUCAGCUCUUUUUCCAUCAACCAACAACUGAAAGUGCAAAGUCCCAGACACAAACUCAACCUUUACUGGCAAUAAAAGAAAAAACACCUUGACGCUUCAUCUCCACAGAGGUACAAACCAAACGGAGGGGCUUAACGUUUCAAGCAGCAAAAAUAAGCAACACUCAGAAUUGUAGUGCAAAACAUUGAAGACGAUCUUUAUUGUUCACAGUUAAACACAAGCCACUGCUUUAAGAACUUCCUUUUUGUCCCAGAUUCUCCAGCUCCUGUCAGAGUCCUGGUUUCUUCAGUUUGUGCUGAUUGUACCUUCUGUCUUGGUUUGCUGUAGUUACUACGGUUGGCAUUUAAAGUGGAUUGUUGAACAUGCUUUAGAUAGCGAGGCAAAAGGAAAUGACAGCAGGAGUUCCCAGUGGACAACAGGAUUUAGACGACUCUCACAACCAGAGUUUACUUCUAAUGCCUAGAAGGAAACGAGGCAACUCUUGUGUUUGUCAGACCUGCAGAGAGGGAACCUGAUUGAACAAGGUGUUUGGUUUAAUUUUCCAGGUUGUAGCAGCUGAAGUGACCCGCAACGUGAGGAACAACACUUCUGUUUAGAGAGGUUUGAAUUCAGCCAAAAACACAAACGUUUGCAUGGCACUUCAGAGUGAUCAGCUGGUCGUCUUUAACGGAAAGCUUAUUAUUUAUUUUUUUCCCAUCGCUUGGGCUUGUGUUACUUGCCAGGUCUGAGUCUAAUUUAGGAUAUGUACUUGUGAGCGCCCUUCAUGGCUGAAUAAAUAAAAAAUUAAAAAGGUACGUUGGAAUGUGGAAUUUAUAAAAAUGCAUAAAACUUCAUCCGUUUCUUGAUUUCAUACACCUUUCUCACGGCAUCUUGGCUGAAAUACGAGAACCAACAUGAUUGCAUCGCUAGCGUACACAUUCGUAAACACAACACAUUCUCCUGCUGAAUUAUUUUGGACAAAAAAAACUCAAAGGAGUUUUCGUAUGGAAAUGUUUUUUCCCCAGUUCACUCCGGCAACGAUAAAGGUCACACUCCCCCCGCAAAACAAAUCAAACAUCCAAACACACUGAUCACCUCCUCCACUCCGAUGUAACAUGUACUCUGAUCUCACUAACAUUUUUUCGGCCAAAGCGCACCCAACAGGUGAUGGGGACAAAUGUAACAUCUCUUCUGGUGUUUAAUGUCUGAUUUGAUUAGAAUUGGAGGCAUUUAAAGGGUCAGUACACCCACAUGACCAAAAAUAAUU